RNAcentral lists this ribosomal RNA (253 nucleotides) under uncultured bacterium. Its description in RNAcentral is "partial 16S ribosomal RNA". It matches the Rfam family "Bacterial small subunit ribosomal RNA", at positions 524 to 776 of the family's 1533-position model. The record is from RNAcentral.
UACGGAGGGUGCGCGCGUUCAUCGGAAUUACUGGGCGUAAAGCGUCAGUAGGCGGCUUGUUAAGUCUGAUGUGAAAGCCCUGGGCUUAACCUGGGAACGGCAUUGGAUACUGGCGAGCUAGAGUUCGGUAGAGGGUGGUGGAAUUCCCGGUGUAGCGGUGAAAUGCGUAGAGAUCGGGAGGAACACCGGUGGCGAAGGCGGCCACCUGGACCGAGACUGACGCUGAGGGACGAAAGCGUGGGGAGCAAACAGG